RNAcentral lists this transfer RNA (75 nucleotides) under Strigamia maritima. Its description in RNAcentral is "tRNA-Val for anticodon CAC". It matches the Rfam family "tRNA". From Rfam's summary of the family: Transfer RNA (tRNA) molecules are approximately 80 nucleotides in length. Their secondary structure includes four short double-helical elements and three loops (D, anti-codon, and T loops). Lineage: Eukaryota; Metazoa; Arthropoda; Chilopoda; Geophilomorpha; Linotaeniidae. The record is from Rfam by way of RNAcentral.
GUUUCCGUAGUGUAGUGGUUAUCACGUGCGCCUCACACGCGCAAGGUCCCCCGGUUCGACCCCCGGGCGGAAACA